UUUGAUAAUGCCCCAAGUGUCAUUUUUCCAUAAUCUUGCCAAGAGUCCCUUAAUUUGUAUUUAUUAGCUUGCCAUGUGUUCAAUUCUAUAAUAUAUUUUCUCUGGAGAGUUGUCACCUAGGUUCAUAACCGAUUUUGAUUGGUAGGAUAAGUUAAGAUGAUAUAAAUUAAUAGAUAAACCUUUAUCUUUUAAAUCAUGUAUGCCUAUUAACGCAAAUCAAGGACACUACAUCAAUAGAUGCACUAUUAAUCUGCGAGUUUCACAAUAGCUUAACUCAGCUAGAAUGGUAGUUCAUUGAAGGUCUUUCUUCUUUCUUCUUUCCUUGUUUCGUGUAGUGUCUUCUUCAGACUUGGCAUAAAUGUAAUUUGGGAGCUUUUCUCAAAUACCAUUCUUGCCUAAAAAUGCUUCAAUUUGCACUUUGUGAUUUGCUGAAAAUUCUAUUUUGGUUACCUUGGACAAUAUGGCUGCGGUUCUCGUUCCAAGCUGUUUGUUUUGCUUCAAAAACUUAUGAGAUGGGAUGAACAAACAACAAACCGUUUAUUUGAAACUGCUAUCGAAUAAUUAGUAAUACCUGCACAUAUUUUGGUUGCUUGGAGGAGAGUUGAACCACACGUGGGGAGCAUUUCUCUUUGAACACCCCUAUUUGAACCUCCAUUAGAUUUGUUCAUGUAUAUUGAUAUAUUUGCUUUGUUAUUUUGCAUAAACAAAUGCAUACACAAUACACACUUCUAUGGAAAAGAUUUAUCCAUAAAGUUUGAAUUGUAGGUAUAUGCAUCUUAGGAGUUAGUUAUAAAAAGAUAUUGGAACAUGUUGAAAGUGUUAGUCCCACAUUGUUUAAGUAAGCCACUCAAGUUUAGUAUAUAUAAUCUAGAUGCUACUCCACCUUUGCCAAUUAGUUUUAGGUUGGAUUCCUCGAUCCUUUAUAAUAUGGUAUCAGAAGUAGGUCUUGGGUGGUCCUCGCAUGGGCCAAGUCUCUGCCUGAGUCAUUUCUGUUGUCAUUGUUGUCACCUCCACGUGCAUCUGGGUUGCACGUGCAAGAGAGUGUUAGAAGUGUUAGUCCCACAUUGUUUAAGUAAGCCACCGAAGCUUAGUAUAUAUAAUCUAGAGGUUACUCCACCUAUUACCAAUUAGUUUUAGGUUAGAUGUCUCAAUCCUUUCUAACAUAACUUAUCUUUGAAAAUCAAUAUCCAUGAAAAUGAAAUCUCAUUUGAUUCCGUUUUAUUUGAAAGGACAAAUAUUGUGGAAAAGAACAAUAUGAAUGUCCUGUUAAAAUGGAUACACCUAUAUGUAGUCAAUUGAGAUUUGGGACCUACAUGUAUAGUCUUUAGGGACAUAUGAACAAUAUGAGGUUGUAAUAUGAUUUAACACUCUCUGUUGAACGAUGUCUCUUAUGAGUUCAACUUUGAAUUUUUUCCCCUCAUUUUUGAAGCUAGUAAUUAUUACUUCUACAAUUUAAUGGGACUUGCUCUAGCAGUACAUGUUGUCAGUCAUCCAAAUCAUUCCUUGGAUUUUUUGUAAAUCUUACAUCAUUAUAAAGUAUGACUCUUGGGUUGGUUGAUAUAUUAGAUUUUGUAAUUUUUUUUAUGGUGGUUACUUCUCACUUUUACAAUUGGAUGACUUGGUCCGGUAGUGCAUGAUAAGUGUCAUCUUUUGUCAUUAAUUUAAUUUUUUGAAAAGUUAAUAAUUGUAAGUUACGAUCUUUUGACUAUUUAACAUAGGUGAAAUGUGAUCUGCACCAUCCUUCUCGACAUUAUCUCUUAGUGACUCAAUAUUGAAUUCCAUUGGAGUUGACUUCUUACUUAUAUAGUUUCUUUUGGACUUGGUCCAACAUUGCAUGGUACGCGUUUAAUCAUUCUUUGGAUUUUUUCAAAAUUAUAAGCGAUUGUAAAAUUAUGAUCAUGGUUUUUUUAUAUAGUUGAAUUUUGAUUUGCCCCCAUUCCUCUUGAUGCUAUCUCUUAUAAAUUCCUUGUGCAGCUGGUGAUUGUCGCUUCU
RNAcentral lists this long non-coding RNA (1992 nucleotides) under Actinidia chinensis (golden kiwifruit). RNAcentral describes it as "long non-coding RNA (ACHI_LNC006007)". Lineage: Eukaryota; Viridiplantae; Streptophyta; Magnoliopsida; Ericales; Actinidiaceae. The record is from RNAcentral.